Molecule: non-coding RNA, 31 nt
Filed under: Mus musculus (house mouse)
Lineage: Eukaryota; Metazoa; Chordata; Mammalia; Rodentia; Muridae
Source: RNAcentral
UUGUAGAUGCUCCUACUGGUUACAGAGCCGU